RNAcentral lists this ribosomal RNA (468 nucleotides) under uncultured bacterium. Its description in RNAcentral is "partial 16S ribosomal RNA". It matches the Rfam family "Bacterial small subunit ribosomal RNA", at positions 28 to 507 of the family's 1533-position model. The record is from RNAcentral.
GACGAACGCUGGCGGCGUGCUUAACACAUGCAAGUCGAACGGAAAGGCCCUGCUUUUGUGGGGUGCUCGAGUGGCGAACGGGUGAGUAACACGUGAGUAACCUGCCCUUGACUUUGGGAUAACUUCAGGAAACUGGGGCUGAUACCGGAUAGGAGCUCCUGCUGCAUGGUGGGGGUUGGAAAGUUUCGGCGGUUGGGGAUGGACUCGCGGCUUAUCAGCUUGUUGGUGGGGUAGUGGCUUACCAAGGCUUUGACGGGUAGCCGGCCUGAGAGGGUGACCGGCCACAUUGGGACUGAGAUACGACCCAGACUCCUACGGGAGGCAGCAGUGGGGAAUAUUGCACAAUGGGCGGAAGCCUGAUGCAGCAACGCCGCGUGCGGGAUGACGGCCUUCGGGUUGUAAACCGCUUUCGCCUGUGACGAAGCGUGAGUGACGGUAAUGGGUAAAGAAGCACCGGCUAACUACGUG